Crotalus tigris (Tiger rattlesnake) is the source of this 2341-nucleotide long non-coding RNA. RefSeq lists it as uncharacterized. Lineage: Eukaryota; Metazoa; Chordata; Lepidosauria; Squamata; Viperidae. The transcript has 3 exons. The record is from RefSeq and is a predicted model, not a curated record.
CGGAGGGAGUGGCUCCCGGCCUCUUUUCCUGUUUCAAACCGCCGAUGUUGCUCGCGGCGCCACGAGGAAAGCAGCUUUGCGCCGCGGUUGCCUCCACAAGUCCCAAACAAGCGGUGGGAGAUUGGGGGUAGCCGUCAGAAGUCUUGAUUUAGCUCAAUCCCGCAGAAAAGGCCGAAAUCGACUGAACCCCCCCCAAAACGGAGGAGUCAACUUAGCCUUGAAAAGGAACCCCCCCCCUCCCCCGGCUUUGCAGACCUUCCGAACUAAGCAACCUUGGAUGGCCGAGUUCCGUCAAACGUUUUAGUUCUGGAAACUGGAAAUCUACAGGAGGAUUGAAAUGGCAGAAGUCGUGAUCCGUACCUCCACGCGAACGGUGCAUUUCUCAGUGGAUUUUUAUGCGGGGUGAGACUUAGAUGGGUGUGACCCUUCGGAGUUAGAAUUAUCUCCAACCAUCUUUGAGGGGGCGGUGAACGAUAUGAACGCGAGAUUGCCGUCCAUGGAUAAUAUUUAAAGUCCCCUGCUUCGAGCAGGGUUUGGAUUAGAAGACCUCUGAGAUCCUUUCCAGUCCUAUGAUUCCAUGUUCUGUAUAUACUUUGGCGCUGAAACAGAAAUUAGCAGCUUUCCAUCCAGUCGCCCCGACUCUACCCCGACUACAGGGUCGUAAAAAGGGAAUCUUUUUUUUUCUAAUGGAGGAAAGUCCAUUGGGACUAAAUGGCUAUGGAGAUUGUUCCAAAGGUGCUUUUUCAAAAGGCAACGGGACUUUAUUUUUCCUUGAAGACGUUUUGCUUUUCAUCCAAGAAGCUUCUUCAGUUCUGACCUUGGUGUUUGUGUAUCUGUGUGUGUGUGUCACCGUGCUACUCUGGACUUGUUUUUCUACCUUGGAUGUGGCCGCCCGCAGGGGAACGGGAAGCAAACUGCCAUCUGCCUUGUAGUAUCUCGCAAAGGAUGCAAUUUCUGUACAGAUGUCAUCUUGAGCCCAAGGCAGCCAAAAAUGUGUCUCAAGAUGGGCAAGCCUUGCAGAUAGCUACACAGGCUCAGGUUCUGCCUAUGGAGCUGGGGAUGCUGAACCCUCUGUCACGUUAAUACAUAAAAGGAUUCCAGUUCCAGAAUGGGAGAAUCUGGGAUUUCAGUGGCAUAACAGACCAGACUUCUCCUCAAUUCCCUCCAGGUGAAAAAUUGGAAAGUCCAACACCAAUUAUUUUAAUUAGUCAGAAGACCUUUCCUGAAGUUUCCCAAAGGAGCUUUAGUAGUGAUUCCAGGGAAGAAAUAUAUGUGGAUUCUGACAGUCGAUUGUUAACUCAGGAAGAUUAGGAUCCAGAUAGCCUUAGUGAUGCCAGCAAAUCUGAUGAUGGUAUCAACUUGGAAAAAGAUAGGAAAAGCCAAAAUGGCACCAAAAUGUCUGAACAGGAUCAGACAAGGGCUGAAAGUGCAAAGCUCUCAGUGUCCUAUGACAAGACUUUCAGGCUUGAUCCACUGUCAGCAUCUUUCUAUAUGGGUGAUGAGGCAGAAGAGAUUGCGGUUCCUUCAAAGCUUACUUGAAACAUACCUCCUCCUCCUCAAAUAGACAAUGAAGAACUUCCUUUCAGACAGCUGCCAAAGGAAUGAACAAUACCCAUCUUUACUCAAAUGGAAAAAUGGUUAUGUCACUACACCAGAGACUAUCAGAACUAACAAGCUGUAUCCACAAAAGAAAUUACAUCUUUUGUUAGGCAAGAGAGUUUUACCAAACAGAAGUCAAGCAGCAACAUUUCUCAAAACAUGUUACCAGAUAUCUCAAGUCCUCCUCUACUGAAAGAUCUUGAGGUCACACGAGCAAAUUGUAUGAACUAUAAUCCUGAGACCCAUUUCCUUCUUAAAGACAGUGAAACUGCCCUGGCACCCUUGGAAGCCAUAAUACUUUGUCAAACUCACCAGCUAGAUGCUCCAGAAAAUCUUUCUGGGCAGUUAGAAGACUCUGUCUGGAGAGUCUAAUGUGGACACAGCCAGCACUGUCAGUUUGGUAAGUGGUAAAAAUCUGCUGUUGUGUUCCCUGCUCAAUGGUGCCUGAGCAUCUGCUGGUUGUUACUCUACUGAAACUGUUUUCCACUGUUAAAACAUUUUUUCACAGCUAUCGUUGUACUAGAUCUGCAUGCCACACUGAAGCAAGCCAAGCUGUAUGGGAGUAUUACUGAAAUUAAGCUUUGUAUAACUCAAAACUGUUUCAGUGGCUUCCAUUUUUGGUUCAUCUUUUACUUCAUUUUGAUGUCACAGACUCAUCCCCAGUGAAAGAACACAGGGCAGAAAACAUCCUGCAGCCAAGAAGGCUCCACACAUAUUUGCACUACUCAGGUGACCCCUGAGG